RNAcentral lists this ribosomal RNA (462 nucleotides) under uncultured bacterium. Its description in RNAcentral is "partial 16S ribosomal RNA". It matches the Rfam family "Bacterial small subunit ribosomal RNA", at positions 28 to 507 of the family's 1533-position model. The record is from RNAcentral.
GACGAACGCUGGCGGCGUGCUUAACACAUGCAAGUCGAACGGUGAAGCCCUUCGGGGUGGAUCAGUGGCGAACGGGUGAGUAACACGUGAGCAACCUGCCCCUGGCUCUGGGACAACCACUGGAAACGGUGGCUAAUACCGGAUACGACCCGCCUCGGCAUCGAGUGUGGGUGGAAAGUUUUUCGGCUAGGGAUGGGCUCGCGGCCUAUCAGCUUGUUGGUGAGGUGAAGGCUCACCAAGGCGACGACGGGUAGCCGGCCUGAGAGGGCGACCGGCCACACUGGGACUGAGACACGGCCCAGACUCCUACGGGAGGCAGCAGUGGGGAAUAUUGCACAAUGGGCGAAAGCCUGAUGCAGCGACGCCGCGUGAGGGAUGACGGCCUUCGGGUUGUAAACCUCUUUCAGCUCCGAAGAAGCGAAAGUGACGGUAGGAGCAGAAGAAGCACCGGCUAACUACGUG